AUACGUAGGGGGCGAGCGUUGUCCGGAAUGAUUGGGCGUAAAGGGCGCGUAGGCGGCGCGGUAAGUCUGGAGUGAAAGUCCUGCUUUCAAGGUGGGAAUUGCUUUGGAUACUGCCGCGCUUGAGUGAAGGAGAGGUUAUCGGAAUUCCCGGUGUAGCGGUGAAAUGCGUAGAGAUCGGGAGGAACACCAGUGGCGAAGGCGGGUAACUGGACUGCAACUGACGCUGAGGCGCGAAAGUGUGGGGAGCAAACAGGAUUAGAUACCCUGGUAGUCCACACUGUAAACGAUGAAUGCUAGGUGUAAGAGGUAUCGACCCCUUUUGUGCCGGAGUCAACACAAUAAGCAUUCCGCCUGGGGAGUACGGCCGCAAGGUUGAAACUCAAAGGAAUUGACGGGG
This 397-nucleotide ribosomal RNA is filed under the name uncultured bacterium. RNAcentral's name for it is "partial 16S ribosomal RNA". It matches the Rfam family "Bacterial small subunit ribosomal RNA", at positions 523 to 918 of the family's 1533-position model. The record is from RNAcentral.